AGUCGAACGAAGCACUUUAUUUGAUUUCCUUCGGGACUGAUUAUUUUGUGACUGAGUGGCGGACGGGUGAGUAACGCGUGGGUAACCUGCCUUGUACAGGGGGAUAACAGUUGGAAACGGCUGCUAAUACCGCAUAAGCGCACAGCAUCGCAUGAUGCAGUGUGAAAAACUCCGGUGGUAUAAGAUGGACCCGCGUUGGAUUAGCUAGUUGGUGAGGUAACGGCCCACCAAGGCGACGAUCCAUAGCCGACCUGAGAGGGUGACCGGCCACAUUGGGACUGAGACACGGCCCAAACUCCUACGGGAGGCAGCAGUGGGGGAUAUUGCACAAUGGGCGAAAGCCUGAUGCAGCGACGCCGCGUGAGCGAAGAAGUAUUUCGGUAUGUAAAGCUCUAUCAGCAGGGAAGAUAAUGACGGUACCUGACUAAGAAGCACCGGCUAAAUACGUGCCAGCAGCCGCGGUAAUACGUAUGGUGCAAGCGCUAUCCGGAUUUACUGGGUGUAAAGGGAGCGCAGGCGGUGCGGCAAGUCUGAUGUGAAAGCCCGGGGCUCA
RNAcentral lists this ribosomal RNA (553 nucleotides) under uncultured Lachnospiraceae bacterium. Its description in RNAcentral is "bacterial SSU rRNA". It matches the Rfam family "Bacterial small subunit ribosomal RNA", at positions 60 to 611 of the family's 1533-position model. Lineage: Bacteria; Bacillati; Bacillota; Clostridia; Lachnospirales; Lachnospiraceae. The record is from RNAcentral.